Molecule: ribosomal RNA, 365 nt
Filed under: uncultured Marinilabiliaceae bacterium
Lineage: Bacteria; Pseudomonadati; Bacteroidota; Bacteroidia; Marinilabiliales; Marinilabiliaceae
Description: bacterial SSU rRNA
Rfam family: Bacterial small subunit ribosomal RNA
Source: RNAcentral
UUCUUCGGACGUUCUCCAAGGUGCUGCAUGGUUGUCGUCAGCUCGUGCCGUGAGGUGUCGGGUUAAGUCCCAUAACGAGCGCAACCCACGUCGUUAGUUGCCAUCAGGUAGUGCUGGGCACUCUAACGAGACUGCCGGUGUAAACCGCGAGGAAGGUGUGGACGACGUCAAAUCAGCACGGCCCUUACACCCGGGGCGACACACGUGUUACAAUGGCCGGUACAGAGGGCAGCCACCCCGCGAGGGGGCGCGAAUCUCCAAAGCCGGUCCCAGUUCGGAUCGGGGUCUGCAACCCGACCCCGUGAAGCUGGAUUCGCUAGUAAUCGCGCAUCAGCCAUGGCGCGGUGAAUACGUUCCCGGGCCUU